ACAGCAUUGUUUUUCUGGAAGAAGUGCCCCAGGUGCUAAGAAGAAUGAAGAGGUAGAUGAAUACAGGGGGAUUGCACAUUUGAAUGGAGUUUUGGAGUAAAUAUGAUGAAGAAUAAAGUAAGCUCUCACAAGCAAUCAUGGACUAGCGAAAGACACAAUGAGGUGAUGCAGAUCUGAGG
Long non-coding RNA from Talpa occidentalis (Iberian mole), 179 nucleotides. RefSeq lists it as uncharacterized. The transcript has 3 exons. The record is from RefSeq and is a predicted model, not a curated record. NCBI's taxonomy places the organism in Eukaryota, Metazoa, Chordata, Mammalia, Eulipotyphla, Talpidae.